CAAUACCUGUGUCUUUAUAUAAAUGAAUAUUUAGUAUUCAUAACUUUUAAAGAACCUUUACCUUCAGAACAAGAAUGCUUCUGGAACUCCAGAAAGGAAAUUUGGAGUCCAAGAUGACUUUUUUAAUCCUUUUGAAAACUUGCUGUGUACUCUUGUGAUAGACACAUUUUGAAACUAGAAUCCAUCCUGAUAUUAAUAGGAGAUUAAGACUCCCUCUUGUGGCUGCUUUCAGCUGAUCUCGGGGAUCUGUGUGAUGAUUUUGUCAUCAUGAGUCCUAAGGUAAGUGGGCAUUGCUGAUAGCAAGGACAGAAGACCUAGUCAAGUUUCUACAAAAUUCACUUGAACAGUGUCUCAAGUUGAUUCUUCUUACAUGUGAAAAGUCUUGAGCUGAGUAAGAAGUAAGAAGAGGACAAAAUUGGAAUGAAAAAGUUCUGAUAAUUCAUUCUGAAUGUAAUUGAGGUGAAGGAAGUUGAGAGAGCCAGAGAAGAUGGAGGUGACUGGGAAAUCCAAGUGCAAUUUAUACAUAUUUGCUAGCUUACCAUGCUCCUCUGAAUCCAGAAAGGGGAUCUCAUAGGCCCUGCAGAAAACAGGAAGGUGCCAAGUUCUGAACCUGCUGGGCCCAUGUGAGCAAUAUGUGACAGACAACCACAGGAAGCAGAUUAAUUGCAAUAUUUAACUUAAGACAAGUUUCCCUAGUCCCUUCCACGUGCUGCAGAAGGGUUGGCAAGCCUGGUGCUGCAUCAGUGCAGGUCCCUCUUGGCUGUGAUGUGUCUGCGCUGGAUGAGAGCAAGCGGUGAGGAGGGCGGAAUUGCUAGCGCGCUCCGAGUCUGCCCAGCUGGCUGAGAGCUGCUCUGGGCUGUUGCAGGGCUGGGAGAGAAGCAGAAGCUGCUGAGAAAUGAAGAGCCUUGCUGUGCCUAACUGCAUCCAGGAGCAAGAGGGCUCAAAGAAAUGAAAUGAGAGCAUUUAAUAAGCUGUGCGGAGAAUGGAAUCUGACCCGUCUUUUGUCUGAGCGAAAGGGACUGGAUAGAGCCUUAAACGUGAAUCAAAUCACUUGCAACCAUCCCCCCGGUUCCUGUCCCCUGCCUGCAGCUCUCCAGGCUCCCGCGUCUGAGCGCUCUGCCCGGGUGCUCCUGGGGGACACGGUCAGGUGUGGCCCGACUUGGCUUUCGUUUUCAGGAAGCUGCUGACAGCAGGCCUGACCCUGGCCAUGUGCACGCAGCGGGAGGCUCUGCCCGUCCCCAGGCGCGGCCUCGGGCGCUCGUGGCAAGCCUGCGCUCCAGGCUAAACAGAGGAAGGUGAGGGUCAGCAGCAGAGAGCUCUGCCCAAGACUCAGGAAGCACAUUUUGGCAGAGGAAAGAAAUACAAUACAAGCAGGGAGGGAAGCUCAGCUUCCAUCCAGCCCCCUCCAAGGAGCGUUUGGCUCCCUACAGCUGUUGGAGUCUUUAGUAUCAGUUGUUGGGCU
Molecule: long non-coding RNA, 1462 nt
Filed under: Apteryx owenii (little spotted kiwi)
Lineage: Eukaryota; Metazoa; Chordata; Aves; Apterygiformes; Apterygidae
Description: lncRNA (ENSAOWG00000002977.1)
Source: RNAcentral